ACUACUAAAGCCUCUUCGGUAUCUGACACAAGUCAGAAUUUCCACUGUUCCAGCUGAGCUUUUAUGAAGAACAGACUUGAGAGAAGCUGCUGUCACCGCCGACACCCGGGCUUCUGGGGGGACUGCCGCGCAGUGGAGUCGGGCCUCGCUGACACUCGCAGGAGCACAGGCUCUGAACUGAGACACGGCAGCCAGCGGGGUGUGGCCCGCCUGCCCUCCGUCGGGGGGGCCCCGCUGCUCACCAGUCGUGUCUUCUUCGUCUCGGGCUUCCAGGGAACCACUGGCCAGCCCCGCCGAUUGACCGGCCCUGCCAGGGAGUGGUGCGGAGCCGCCUGUGGGGACGUCCUUAGAAGUCCCCUCCCUCCCUCCCUCUCUUUCUCCCCCCAGCUGCUCCCUGACCUCCAGACUCAGUGUCCAACUGUCUACUUGGCCUCUCUACCUGGAUGUCCAACAGCCAUCUUGAACCCAAUGUGCCCCCAACAAAAAGCCUCCACUGUCACCCGCCUAAGCCUCCACGUCAGAAGCGGCACCACCGCUGCCUUCCGUCCUUAAGCCGGACGUCGAAGGCGAACCCGGGAUCCCGUCUUUCUUCACCUACCUCCCCUCUCUCACCUCUACCCCCAGGGCCACCCACUGCCCUCCAGCCCCCCAGCCCCGACGCUGGGCGAUGUCAUCACCUCUCACCCGCACUACUGUGACCAUGCCCCAUCUCCAUGGCCUCCUUCCUCCCCACAAGCGGCCCAUCACGCUUUCCAGAAGGAUCUUGUUAAAACGGAUGUCAGAAGCUGGCACUCGCCUAUGCCUUCUCUUCAAAGGCAGCGUAAAACCCAAGCGUGUGGUCCCACCCCUGCCCGCUGGCCCACCCUUGUCCCCAGUGGCUCCUCCUACCACAUAGGCCUCCCUUUUGUUCUUCCCUAAACCCCAAGUUCCUUCCACCUUGGGGUUCUGCUUGCUCCUCCUGGCUGUUCUCCCUUCACAUCCUCCCAAGGCUGGUCCUUCCUCAGCUGAGAUGUCACCUCCUCCGAGAGGCCUUGCCACAAUCUACCCCUCACGGCGUUUUACCACUACCAGAAAUUUGCACGGCCGUUCUCUGGAUUAUUCAGUCACUACCUGCCUCCCUCAGGUGAGCACCCUGCCAGUAAGGCCCACCUACCUGGUUCAUGGUCGAGCACCCAGGACUCAGCAGGGCCCCACGCCUGCAGGAGAUGCUCAGCUAAAUACUCCCUGAAUGAGCAAGAGUCAGAGGCCUGAGCUCCAUUCUCAGUCUGCUGUGUUACCUUAGACGGCUCACGUCCCCUCUCUGGGCCUCAGCUCGCCAACUACAAAUGAAGGGGGCUAGAGGCCUUCCCAGGGCUCCUCGGGUCUGUGAGUGGUUGACACAUCACACCUGGGGGCCGAGACAGACGGACCUGGGCCGCAAGGGGGAGUACACAGGACCUGCCUGGGUGGCCCGAGGGAGGGGACUGUCUGACUUCAUGCUGUUGACUUCAUUCUUCCAGUGAGUAUUUAUUGAGCACUUACAGCAUGCCAGACUCUAUGUCAGGCGCUGGGAGAAGAAGGAGACAUUCAGAGAUGCUAAUAGGAUUAAAGAAACUUUGAAAAUAGGUCUUCUUUGAUCUGGACUGGUAAAUAAUUAUAAACACCAGUUGGCUCCCCUUCAAGAAAAGACCCAUAAAACAAUAAGACUCAUGACAGCUCACAGACACCGGGCACUUACUCCGCACCAGGGCCGUUCUCUGAUAUUACAUAAAUGACCUCACGGUCUUCACGGGAGCCCUGAGGAAGAAGUGCUAAUGAUUACCCCCCGACAAGGAAAAUGCAGAACAGAGAAGUGAAGGGAUUCACCCCAGGUCACCCAGUGAGUUGUGGUUUAAAGCCCGGCUGCUCUGGGGCCCGACUUGCAAAUUCCCAAAAGGUCCAAAUAAAGAUAGGAAGGUACUUCCCCUGGGUUCCGAGGGGGUGGGGGUGAGACAAACUUUGGGGCCCAUCCAGAGUCAGGCAGGUCCUAAGCUCACAGUGGGGCCACUCAGACCCCAGGGCCUCAAUCCCAACACCACGGCCCUGCCGGGCAGGACUAGCUACUCUACCACAGCCUCAAGCUGGGGAAAUGGGGAUCCCAUAGGCCCCGUCAGGCCAGACCCAGGCUGCGCAGAGGGAGGCCUGCCCCCCACCCCAGCAGCCCUGGGUCCUGGAGGGAGGACCUGGGCCCCCAAAGGGAGGGGCCUCCUGACUUCACUCAUCCUGAGGGUUCCUUGAUGGGCGUUCUGUGAAGUCAGCUCUCCAUACAUGCCGGGCAGGUUGCUCUUUGCCUGCUUUCAUCCCCAAGUGGAGGUCAGAAGACAGGAAACAGACUCGGUGUUAGGGUCAGUGGGCAGAUACUAGAGGGGGAGGGGCAGAAGUGAGUCAAGGCACGGGGAGGGAGGGGGACAGCCCUAGGUGGAAGGGAGAGAGGGGACCUAGAGAGGAAGCUGCAUCUUAUGCCGAGUGGAGAGGACACCCCCAAACACAGCUCUUCCGGGGGCCAUUCAGGGUGACACAGGUCAGCCAAACCAGGGUGGCACCCGUUUGCACCUCAGGCCACAAGCCACAGGCUGCCACCGCCUGUCCUACGGCCCAGCCGGGGAGGUGGGGACGCCAGGUGGGUACUGGAGUGACGAGUGGGGCUGGCCGCCCAUGCUCAGACCCCAGCCGGGCCAGCAGAGGGAGGGUCCCUCUCCCCUUCUCCCCUGGAAAGCCAGCCUCGUGUCCGCCCCUGCCACGCCCAGCCAGCUCUCCUGGCUUGGGACUUUUGAUGUUUACUUUGUUCUCUCCACAGUUCAAAAGCAGCUCGGAAGCCUCGCACCAAGCCCAGACUUAAUCUGCCGUCCCUCGAGCUCCCAGCUGGCCAGUUAAGGCGGUUAAGAUGCUGGAUUAGGGCCGGCUUUACAUAACAACGCAGGAGCUAAAGCCGUCCUCUCCUGGGAUGGCUAAAAGACUUCUUUUUAUCUUCACGCCUCAGAUGGCCUUUUUUCUCCCUUAAACAGCCCUCCAGCCCGCCAAGAGGCAAUGAACUUGGCCAACAGGAAGACAAAGGAGAGAGUCAGGAUUCCGCGUGCUCUCCCUUGGCCGGGUAGCACAGAGGGACGCCCCCAGGCCAGGUGGAUGCUUCUCGGGGACUCAGCAGCACCUGCUCUUACUGUGGCCACGUCCCCCCAUUCUGGGGGGUGCGGCCUCAGGCCUCUGCGCCGAGGGCGACCGUGGCACCACAGGCAGUCACGGGCCCAGCAUCCUCCCAAGGAGUCCCAGGGCCACGCGGGCAGCCCAGGCCCACACCAGAGCAGUCUCGCUCUUAACUGCUUCAUCUACGCGGUGCUCUCGCUUUUUAAUGCUGUGGUUCGUCUCUCAAUUCAUCCUCCUUGUGAAAGUUUGAACAUUCAUCACUAUCGUCCUCUUUGUGCACACUUUCUGAUUUUAGUGUCCUUCUCCCACGCCCAAGAGGAGCUACUGUCUUUGUGUGUCGAGGCCUCCAGCCACCCCGUAAUAUGCACGCGGUACACACGCAUAUGUGCAAGGAAAUACGGAGUGCUGUGUCGUGCCCUUUUUUACACAAAACAUACUGUGACAUGCUGCAUCUUUCUGCAACCUGAUGUGUUUUGUAUUUUCUGCUUCUGCGUCAGCUUUGGCUUGAAGAAAGAGGCCGAAAAGCUUGACCGCCGACAACUUAGUCCGACCCCCAGUUGGGAAACUGAGGCAGGAGAGUGGCCUGAGCCCCCUCCCUCAUCAGUGGUGGCACCGAUGUGCCUAGACAUCAUCAGUAAUGAGCAAGGUGCCCAGGCUGCCCUUCAAGGCCAGGAAUGCAGCUGGGGCAGGGGGUGGGGGGGGCAUGGGGUCAGACUGAAUGAUGCCAACCUCACACCCUUUCCCCCAACGGGAGCUGGGACCCCCAGGCACCUCAUAUUCAUCCCCCAUCCAUCAACCAAUGUUUGUAAGUGUCGCCCUCCCCGUGUCUCAGGGGUUCGUUCUCCCUGCAAGGAGCCCACCGCCUCCGUGCACCCACGGAGUCCGGUUCCACAUCCUCACUCAUCAUGUUACAGAGGGCAAGGGGGGCCCAGAGCUGGAGGGACCUGGCCACAAUCCACAGCAGGUCGCUACCAGAGCUGGGAGGGGAGCCAGGGCCAACGUUCCUUCUACUUCAUUAUAACAGCACGCAUGCUCUGAAUGCAGACAUCAGAGGGAAGUGGAUUCCAUGGGCGGGCCAUUUCAUGUCUGAUUGAAGGCAAAGACACCUCACUUGAAAUCAGUUACAUGGUUUCGGGGCGCCUGGGUGGCGCGGUCGGUUAAGCGUCCGACUUCAGCCAGGUCACGAUCUCGCGGUCCGUGAGUUCGAGCCCCGCGUCGGGCUCUGGGCUGACGGCUCGGAGCCUGGAGCCUGUUUCCGAUUCUGUGUCUCCCUCUCUCUCUGCCCCUCCCCCGUUCAUGCUCUGUCUCUCUCUGUCCCAAAAAUAAAUAAAUGUUGAAAAAAAAAAUUAAAAAAAAAAGAAAACAGUUACAUGGUUUCAAACUGAGCCUCAAUGGACAGAGAACUGCCUUGUUUUGAGCAGUAACUAGAGGCUCAACAAAUGAUGGAUAGAAAGACAGACAGAUGAUGAUUGGAGGAUGAUGGUUCCGUGGAUGAAGGGAUGAUUGAAUCCAUCCAUGGGUGGAGUAUGGAUUAUGGGUGGCUGAGUGAUAACAAAGAGCUGGCUGGCUGGUGGGUGACAGGAGAGUAGAGAGGAGAAUGAAAAGGCAAUGGAUGGAUGGAUGGAUGGAUGGAUGGGGCGUGACCAGUGGGUGGGUGAGUGACAGGUGAACGAAGGGACAGACAGAUGAGUGGUGGUUGGAUGGGUAGUGAAUGGGCGAUGGAUGGAACAGGUGGAGGGAUAGAUAAACAAGAGAAUGAACUUGCUAAUGAGUUAUGGUGCGAAUGAGCAAAUGAAUACCUAACAGGAAUGAGGGCUGAUGCCCAUGUAAUCAAUGUCCGGGAUCAGCUCAGUCCCUAAGGGCUUACACCCUGCACACCCUUAUCUGACUCCCCAGAUCUCUCAGCACCAACUCCUGACAUCUCUCUCCAUGGAGCCAAAGAUGACAGCUGAGGCUUGAGGGGAGCCAGGGCAUGACAGAAUCAGAGCUGCAGAGCCCCUGCGUGCAGCCACCAGAUCUGCAAGCAAGCACGCCCAAGGGAAACACCCCCAAGCCUUCACAAAGCCUUCCAUCCAUGGGACUCCCCACCCUUGGUUCAGGACCUGCUCAUAUUUGAGUCUGAUAGAUACCUGGGUCCCAGCCUGCCUCCAGCUCCUGGGCAACUGGGUGGAUCUCUUAAAACAGUGCUUCUCAAAGUGCACAAGUCACCUGGGGAGUCUCUUACAGUGUAGAUUGGAUGCAGCAGGCCUGGGGCUGAGCAGGGGGACCCUAUGCUUAUGACAACUGUCAAGCUGGAUGUGGCCACAGUCCUCAGGCCUGGCCCAGACUCCCCUUGAGAAACCCUUGGCACUGUCUGCUCUCCUCUCAAGGCUCUACAGGGGCCCAAGGCCUAGAUCCCCCUAAGACGCUCAGCUCUCCUACAAGUUGCCUGUCCUCACCUCAACAGCGAGGCCCCUACCAUCCUAAGGCUUCCCCAGUGAAGUGAUUCUCUUCUCGGAUUCUGAGCGUAAAACGGAAAUGCUAUCCCGCUUCGCAAAUGCUUUCCAAUCAAUGCCACCUAUGCUUUGCAUCAGCUCAGGGAGUCCAACAGGGAGAAGGCUCUCAUUCCUGUUCUGUAAGUGUGGAAACUAAGGCUCAGAAAGGUGGUGUGCCUUGCCCAAAGUCAAGUCGGUGCUCCAGUGUCCGCCUCCUUUCCACAACAGGUGCUUCCCCUUGAACAAAGACAGGAGUGAGCGGAGAGCGGCCAGUGGGGCGCCAUUUGUAUGUGCUCCAGCUGAGCGAUGUGAAUGACAAAUGGGGAAAUAGAUCAGCUACGUGCCGAACACAGUUUGAGGGGCCAAUGAGCCGCUACUGUGAUCACCCCCCAAUGGGAAAGCUGAGCUCCAACAACCUGUCCAAGGCUCCACAGCCAAUACAGAGCAGAGCCAGGAUGUGAGCCUCGGGAGCCUGGCUCCACUCUGGGCUUGGACCUGUGAAGGGCGAUAUUCCCUUCUUGCCUCUCACCCCCACUCACCCCCACUGACAGGGUCCAGUCCUCCGCCUGGUCUGCAGAUUUUCCAGAGGGCACACAGGGCACACGGUAGACUAGAUGGCCCCUUCCCCAUCUCACUGCACCCUGGGAAGAAGAGAGCAAUGGAUUCCAGUACCUUCUAGCCGAAAGCCUUCCUCUUCCUCCUCACUGAGCGUUUCUCUGAAAAUUUCACCCACGAGCUCCUAGAGGAAGACAAAGCAGGGACAUUAAGCAAGAAUUGGACAGAGUCAGGUAGGAGCCUGGUGUUGGGACGUCAUGAACGUGUGCCCAGCUGGUCACAAGGAAGCGGGGGUCCUGCUCUAAUUCUUCCAAUGGGAAUUUAGGUCAACUGAGGUGGAUCCUAUCACACUUGAAAAGUGAAUUAUCACCAUGCUUUUCAGGAAGUAACUUUUUCUCAGCUCACUAUAAAAUACUAUACCCGACCACACUUCUCCCUCAGACAGGAAGUUCCACCCUCCACCCUGGAAAAAGACAGAGACAAGAUGAGAAAAUGUCUCUCAUCUACCCCUUGGAGUCAACUCGACUCCAGCAAGCCACCCCUGUGGGUCCCGAGAAGGGAUCUCAGUUUGAACGAUUCUCCAGCAGAGGGUCCCGGGCGGGCCGUCUCCAUGGGUUUACAAAGAGGGCCUGGAGUGCCCAAGGAGAGGUCUCUACUACCCUUAACAUAAACCCCAACUCUUCAGCAUCACAUUCAGAAACCUUCAUGCUUUGGCUCGGGCUGAUCUUCAGACAGGCCUGCCACAUCUCCCCCGUGCACACGCCUGCCAGAAACCAGCCUGAUCCUGGCACAUGCCUUGCCUGGUGGCAUCCUUGAGGAUGCCUGGCGGCUUAUCCCGUAUGACAGACUUGGCCCCAACCAGCCUGCUCAGGCUGUCAUUCAGAUGUGGUCAGGUUGGCCAGGGGACUUUGGUUGGUCCACAGGCUGGGAAAUUUCUGGGAUGUCGACAAAGGUACGACCUAUCUCACCCCACCCCUGCAGGAUGACUCUAGAUACGGAAGAAGCAGGGCCGGCAUUUGCCAGACUGUCUUCUGCAUUUUUUGGUAUUCUGCCCGUAAGAGUUCUGUGAUCUAAAAAGAUUGUUCUAAAGUUACGCAAGAUCCCGUACUGAAGAAUUUACGACGGUAAUGGACACUGUGAGUAUCCAAGUAGUAACUGAGGCUACGUUCCCCAAUUUUCCUCCUAUUUAGACCGUGGAGAUUGUUUUACACAAGCAUCACAUGGGAUUCGUGUUCCGAGGAACCCACUUUGGGAAAUGCUCCUCUUCUGGGGGAGAGACAAGGUUUGAGAAGUUAUACCACCUUAUCUCUUCAGAUGCCACAACAAUGCUACGGCAGCAUUUCUCGAACCACAAAAUGACAAGCGAUAAAAAAAGCCCAAACUCAGCAGCUGUCACCAACUUCUCUUUUUGAAAAAAAAAAUGGGGGGGGGGCAAAGAGAAAGAAAAAUGAGAACGUACCCUUCUCGUUGAAAAAUUAGAAGGAAAAAAAAAAUCCUGCACCUCAGAUCCUUAACAGAAAAAUCAGGGUUUGCUUUGAUUAACCAAACAAAAAUAAUGCUCUGUAUAUCUGAUCUUAUCAACUGGACACAGCUGGAGCUAAGUCUCUUCUUUUCUUUUCUUUUCUUUUUUUUUUUUUUAAAGGAUCAACAGCUGACAUUUUAUGGAUCAGGGCCGGUGUUCUCCUCUCGCUCUCCUUUCAGAUCGUUCGGGGGCGUCACACACUCUUUCCUACGGGUUGUGAAAAUGUGGCCACUCAGACUCCCGGGGUCCCACUGACUUCAAAACCAGGCUGCUUGAUUCCUGGAGAGAGGAUGGCUUCUCCCUCCUCCUCCGCCAAUUAUCAUAAUCACCGAACACUUCCCGGGCUUGUAAACUGGCUGUUUGUGUUAACGGCACUGGAGUUGACAGGGAAGCAGGGAGCUGGUGACAGGGAAGGGACGCACUCAGGUGGCAUCAUUAGACGGCUGGGACGCUCCGGCAGCCAAUUAGAGCCCAUCUUUCAUGCCAGAGGAAGACGGAUGCCAUCUCCCCAUAAAGGAGCACUUCCUCACAGGAGCAGCUGACGGUCUUCAAGGGAGUCAACAGCCCGCUUCACGCUCGGCUCUUCUGGAAAGCGGGGGGCUCAGUGCUGACCUUGGCCCGCCACCCUGACCGCUGCAGGCAAAGCAGACAGGACCUGCCAGUCCCAUACUUUUGAGCGCACGUGUCUUCUUAUUGGCAGACUUGGAGGAGUUUAAAGACUCCGAACGUCACUCCCAACAAAGCAGCCGUCUGGAACCCCGAUAACGAUGCCUCACAGUGUGUAUCACGCACUCUGAGAACUGUCUGCUGUGAGGACGAAGCUCUCUGACACAGUAAAGACACAUCUCUGCAUAUUAAAGCAGGCUUCUGGCAAGCUCCGGGGUCGGCCUCUUCCUGCUAAACCUUACCCUGCUCUGUAUAACCCUGUGAGAGCUCCUUUGCACCACGGUCCACUGACAUACUGUGCAGUUACAGAAGCUCGACAUUGGCAAACGUUCAUUUCAUCCGCUGAGCCAGGCGGCCCGGGGCCAGUGCCGCGCAGUGUCUGUGGUCUUCAAGCUUUGAAUCGCUAAGCUAGAGGCAAUGCAGUGUGGGGCCAGACA
RNAcentral lists this long non-coding RNA (8813 nucleotides) under Lynx pardinus (Iberian lynx). Lineage: Eukaryota; Metazoa; Chordata; Mammalia; Carnivora; Felidae. The record is from RNAcentral.